AGUGAACGCUGGCGGUAGGCCUAACACAUGCAAGUCGAACGGCAGCACAGUAAGAGCUUGCUCUUACGGGUGGCGAGUGGCGGACGGGUGAGGAAUACAUCGGAAUCUACUUUUUCGUGGGGGAUAACGUAGGGAAACUUACGCUAAUACCGCAUACGACCUACGGGUGAAAGCAGGGGAUCUUCGGACCUUGCGCGAUUGAAUGAGCCGAUGUCGGAUUAGCUAGUUGGCGGGUAAAGGCCCACCAAGGCGACGAUCCGUAGCUGGUUUGAGAGGAUGAUCAGCCACACUGGAACUGAGACACGGUCCAGACUCCUACGGGAGGCAGCAGUGGGGAAUAUUGGACAAUGGGCGCAAGCCUGAUCCAGCCAUACCGCGUGGGUGAAGAAGGCCUUCGGGUUGUAAAGCCCUUUUGUUGGGAAAGAAAAGCAGCAGGUUAAUACCCCGCUGUUCUGACGGUACCCAAAGAAUAAGCACCGGCUAACUUCGUG
Molecule: ribosomal RNA, 491 nt
Filed under: uncultured bacterium
Lineage: Bacteria
Description: partial 16S ribosomal RNA
Rfam family: Bacterial small subunit ribosomal RNA
Source: RNAcentral